RNAcentral lists this ribosomal RNA (293 nucleotides) under Recifella sp. AP-2010. RNAcentral's name for it is "partial 28S ribosomal RNA". It matches the Rfam family "Eukaryotic large subunit ribosomal RNA", at positions 666 to 944 of the family's 3401-position model. The record is from RNAcentral. Lineage: Eukaryota; Metazoa; Arthropoda; Arachnida; Trombidiformes; Unionicolidae.
CCAAGGAGCCCAGCAUCUGCGCGAGUCGCUCGGUCUUGAAUAGGCCCGAGAGGCGAAAUAAACAUAAUGGUAUGAUCCUUUGAUAUCUUUCGAGAUUAAAAGGCGCAAUACCAACCUGCUUUAUUGCUUGCGAUAAGGUGGCGUUUGAGCGUAGAUGCUGGUACCCGAAAGAUGGUGAACUAUACUUGGGCAAGACGAAGCCAGAGGAAACUCUGGUGGAGGUCUGUAGCGAUUCUGACGUGCAAAUCGAUCGUCAGACCUGAGUAUAGGGGCGAAAGACUAAUCGAACCAUC